RNAcentral lists this ribosomal RNA (242 nucleotides) under uncultured fungus. Its description in RNAcentral is "partial 28S ribosomal RNA". It matches the Rfam family "Eukaryotic large subunit ribosomal RNA", at positions 296 to 541 of the family's 3401-position model. Lineage: Eukaryota; Fungi. The record is from RNAcentral.
GAGGUAAAUUUCUCCUAAGGCUAAAUAUUGGCGAGAGACCGAUAGCGAACAAGUACCGUGAGGGAAAGAUGAAAAGAACUUUGAAAAGAGAGUUAAAUAGUAUGUGAAAUUGUUGAAAGGGAAACGAUUGAAGCCAGUCAUGCCGGUGGGAAAUCAGCUCAUAGGCUACUGUGGGUGCACUUUCUCGCAAGGCAGGUUAACAUCGGUUUCAGUUGCGUUAUAAUGAUGGUGGGAAGGUAGCU